ACUAACAAGGAUUCCCCUAGUAACUGCGAGUGAAGCGGGAAAAGCUCAAAUUUAAAAUCUGGCACCAGCCCGAGUUGUAACCUAGAGAAGUGUUUUCGGCCGCUGUACUUGGACAAGUCCCUUGGAACAGGGCGUCAUAGAGGGUGAGAAUCCCGUACUUGCCAAGCUCACAGUGUCUAUGUGAUACGCUCUCGAAGAGUCGAGUUGUUUGGGAAUGCAGCUCAAAAUGGGUGGUAAAUUCCAUCUAAAGCUAAAUAUUGGCGAGAGACCGAUAGCGAACAAGUACCGUGAGGGAAAGAUGAAAAGCACUUUGGAAAGAGAGUUAAACAGUACGUGAAAUUGCUGAAAGGGAAGCGCUUGAAGUCAGUCGCGUUUGUAGGGACUCAGCCUUAACCGGUGCAUUUCCUUGCGAACGGGCCAACAUCGAUUUUGACCGUGGGAGAAGGGCUCGAGGAAGGUGGCAACUUCGGUUGUGUUAUAGCCUCCUGUCGUAUGCCACGGUUGGGAUCGAGGACCGCGGCUUUUGCCUAGGAUGUUGGCGUAAUGGCUUUAAGCGACCCG
RNAcentral lists this ribosomal RNA (561 nucleotides) under Femsjonia peziziformis. RNAcentral's name for it is "Ditiola peziziformis partial 28S ribosomal RNA". It matches the Rfam family "Eukaryotic large subunit ribosomal RNA", at positions 64 to 651 of the family's 3401-position model. The record is from RNAcentral. Lineage: Eukaryota; Fungi; Basidiomycota; Dacrymycetes; Dacrymycetales; Dacrymycetaceae.